RNAcentral lists this ribosomal RNA (458 nucleotides) under uncultured Desulfosarcina sp. RNAcentral describes it as "bacterial SSU rRNA". It matches the Rfam family "Bacterial small subunit ribosomal RNA", at positions 346 to 795 of the family's 1533-position model. Lineage: Bacteria; Pseudomonadati; Thermodesulfobacteriota; Desulfobacteria; Desulfobacterales; Desulfosarcinaceae. The record is from RNAcentral.
UGGCAGCAGUGAGGAAUUUUGCGCAAUGGGCGAAAGCCUGACGCAGCAACGCCGCGUGAGUGAUGAAGGCCUUCGGGUCGUAAAGCUCUGUCAAGUGGGAAGAACCUAUAUAAUGUUAAUACCAUUAUAUACUGACGGUACCACUGAAGGAAGCACCGGCUAACUCCGUGCCAGCAGCCGCGGUAAUACGGGGGGUGCAAGCGUUAUUCGGAAUCAUUGGGCGUAAAGAGCACGUAGGCGGCCUGGUAAGUCAGAUGUGAAAGCCCGGGGCUUAACCCCGGAAGUGCAUUUGAUACUGUCAGGCUUGAGUAUGGGAGAGGGAAGUGGAAUUCCUGGUGUAGAGGUGAAAUUCGUAGAUAUCAGGAGGAACACCGGUGGCGAAGGCGACUUCCUGGACCAAUACUGACGCUGAGGUGCGAAGGCGUGGGUAGCAAACAGGAUUAGAUACCCCUGUAGUC